UACUGCUAUUUAUUUCUUCUCCUAAAGUUCCUCCUCUUCAUUCUUAAUUUCUUACCUUUUCCCUUCUUCUUUCCUACUUUCUCCAUUGCAGAUGAAUUAUGAGUUGUUGUUAUUUUUUGUUGUUGUUGUAUCUUUUAAACCUUUUCGGUCGAAAAGGUUGAAAUUUGUAAUGUUAGUUGUUACUAUUCAUCUUUGCUCUUUUAUUUCUUCAACUUUUCUUAAUUCUUAGUUGGAAAUAAUUGUGAUUUUGAACUAUGCUUGAAGCCUUUACCUGCUUUAAUUAUAUAAAAUUGGAAUAUUAUUGUGCUUAAUGUAUUAUAAGAUUCUGAUGUUUUCUUUCUCCUUUUUUUAUUUCAUUGAUUUUGUUUUUUGCGUUUUUUGCAGGUUGAUUAAUAUUGUGUGUAGUUGCUGUAUUUGAAUUAUUUUGUUUCAAGGAUAUUGUUAAGUCGUUUUCUAAAUUGCAUUUUCUGGAGCAAUUGCACUUGCAAUUCAGGGGAUGUUUAAGUCUAUCAUGAGGAGUGGUAAUUGAUGCUUUAUUACCUUUUGCCUGUAAUGUUUUCUUUCUCCUUUUUAAUUCAUUGAUUUUAAUUUUGUAUUUUUUUGCAAGUUGAUUAAUAUUGUGUUUAGUUGAUACAUUUAGAUUAUUUUGUAAUUUCUAAGGAAAUUGUUAAAUCGUUGUCUAAUGUGCAUUUUCUGGAACAAUUACGAAUAGAGGACGUUUAAGUCUAUCAUGAGAAUGGUAAUUGAUGUAUCAUUAUCUUUUGCCUAAAGAUUUGGUUGAUCAAAAUAAAGUUUUCGCCUACAAAUUUAUUUUAUGUGGGAAAACAAAAUGAAGGUCAAUUAAUUUUAUGUUUUUAUGAUUUUAUUUUUAUGAAUUCUCUUAUUUACACCUAAACUAUAUAUAAGAAUUAUUUAAGUACAAAAAACUUUCUUCAACUAUCUCCUCCUUUUUUUCUCCUUUUUUCUUUUCUUUCGAAUAGUGGGUGAAAUAUCUCUCUCUAUAAAAUAAAUUUUUAAGCAACGCGUAGUUUAGGUAAUUUUUAUUUGAACAAUUUUAUUGCUAUGAAUUAUGGUCAAUUCGUUUAUGCCUUUGUGGGGAAACGUUUCUCUUUCUUUUUAGUACAUGGUGAAUCUGAAGUACAUUUUAUCAUGCAUAUUCUGACCUCUAAUACCUAUUCAUAGUCGUAAUCGACAGUUCAAUUUUUUAAAAAAUUACUAUUUGUAUAAUACUUAUCCAAUAAAAUUUUGUUUUGUUUGUAUUCAGAUAUAGUGCCGGAAUUUAUAACUUACGAAUUCUGAUUCACAAUAUUUUUUAUGUCAAGACCCAAAAUCUAUUAUAGGCCGUGAUGGCACCCAACAUCGCCGUCAGGCAAGCCAACGGUGUAUUAUCGACUUAGUUACUCAUUUCGUUAUUUGUAAAAUCGUAAAUCCCAUUAAAUAAAUA
Molecule: long non-coding RNA, 1444 nt
Filed under: Nicotiana tabacum (common tobacco)
Lineage: Eukaryota; Viridiplantae; Streptophyta; Magnoliopsida; Solanales; Solanaceae
Description: long non-coding RNA (NTAB_LNC019647)
Source: RNAcentral